UGAGGAAUAUUGGACAAUGGGGGAAACCCUGAUCCAGCAAUGCCGCGUGAAUGAAGAAGGCCUUCGGGUUGUAAAAUUCUUUCACUCGUGAUGAUGAUGACAGUAGCGAGAGAAGAAGCUCCGGCUAACUCUGUGCCAGCAGCCGCGGUAAGACAGAGGGAGCUAGCGUUGUUCGGAAUGAUUGGGCGUAAAGGGUGCGUAGGCGGUUAUUUAAGUAAGGUGUUAAAGCCCCAGGCUCAACCUGGGAAUCGCGCUUUAAACUGGAUAACUGGAGUAUGAGAGAGGAAAGUGGAAUUCCUAGUGUAGAGGUGAAAUUCGUAGAUAUUAGGAGGAAUACCUGAGGCGAAGGCGGCUUUCUGGUUCAUUACUGACGCUGAGGCACGAAAGCGUGGGGAGCAAAUAGG
RNAcentral lists this ribosomal RNA (404 nucleotides) under uncultured bacterium. Its description in RNAcentral is "bacterial SSU rRNA". It matches the Rfam family "Bacterial small subunit ribosomal RNA", at positions 355 to 776 of the family's 1533-position model. The record is from RNAcentral.